UGUUUAGUCUGGAGAAAAGAAGCAACUUUGUUGGAUUCUCUGCAGUUUUUAAUUUCAAGAGCCUCUUUUUUUUUAUCCCAGUCUAAAUAGUUUUAUUACAAAUUCUAAAGUUAUGUAUUGAGCAGCUUUUUAAAGCCAAUUGCCUCUUGAUUAUAAAGUAAUAUUCUGCAUAAAUUCAACAUAAGAUACACCACGACACUAAGAACUGUAGACUUUGUUCCAGAAAUAUUUGUUCUCACAGUCUUACAGUACUGAGUCACUGUAACAGGUACACAGAUGCCUUUUCUUUUUAAAUCACUUAUAUACUCACCCACAUAAUUCUUCAUACCCUGCAGUGAAUUAUCCAUGCAUUGUUAAUCAACCUUGUUUCCCAGGUUCUCUACCUACUCUUAUGCUCUAUUUUUCAUGUGUUCUGUUGUAACUUUUGAAAUGAUGCAAGCCAUUGAUCUUAUUUCAUCCUUUGGGGUUCAAGGCAAUUACCAUGCUGUGUUGAAAAAAGCUGCCUUCAUACAUCAUUAUGCAAUUGACAUCAUAUUGCACUCUUUCUGCUACCUUAUUAUUAUUUUAAUUAAAAAGCGGUCAUGGAACAACAUCUUCGUUUCCACUCCUAAUAAAAAGCACCCUAAAAUUAUAAAUGAGUACAAAAAACUUUACCACAAAGACUGGUGUCCAAGAAAUCUGUAAUAUUGACAGGAAGGAUUUAAUCAGGAUGCCCACUGCAUGAAAGGAAGGGACAUACAAGUGCUCUUACACAUGUUUACAUAGAUUCCUCAGAUCCUGCCAGAGGCUCCAAGCAGAACAGGAGAAACUAGCACAGGGAGGCGUGCCCCUUUUUAUUGGAUGACUUUGAAAAGAUACGCCUGCUGUGUGCAUACGCGCUUCUGUACUUCUCUGUCCCACAGAAACUGGCAAGGAGCUUUAGACUGAGGCAGUCUGGCUAAAGGAGGCUUUGCAUGCUGAUACACAUGUGAAAAAAUAAGCACCUUCAAAUCUGGAACACAAGAUUUUAAAAGAAACAGCAGUAUCUUUUUUGUGAGCUUCUAAAACCGAUUGAGGUGAGAACCUCCUUUGUGGAACUGCACUUGGCAGCAGAUCUGACAUUUCUUGGCUUCCUAUUGGACAAAGGAAAACUGUAAAUCGUCCUACUCCUUUCCCACAGAAUAAUUUUUGUAAUCCUGCACUGAGGGCACUAACUAGGGAGACAGGUUAACCUUUGCCUUUAGUCAAGACUGCUGUUAGCUCUCCAUUUAAAAUCAUUGCCUUGAUGUCUGCCACUCUGAAACCUACCCAUCAACUUGUUAGUUUCAAGGGCAGGAAUGUAAUCUGGUUUAGAGACUGAUUUUUGUUCUUUUCUUACUAGUGAGCUGGCGUGAAACUGGAGAUGACUGCAAACAGAACUCUCCCAGUUGCCAACCACAGGUCUCUCUCGAGAAAAAGAGUUGGAGCUACCAUAAUGAUGUUUUAUGUAGGCCUCCUGUUUUGAUGCCCCCCUAGUUGGUUUUCAGGUGUCCUUCUGCAGCUCUGAAAGCCUGAUUUCUUGCCUGUGUAAGCUGCAAUUUACAUGAAUUAUCUUGCUCCAACAGGUGUGUUUUAAAGAAAUGCAGCUGACAUUGUACAAGUCGAUGGAAUAUUGAGAGUUGUGGAUUGAUAAGCAGGCUUUUUCAAAGGAGAAAGGAGAGUGGAACACCAAAGACUGUGGCCUCGGAGAAAACAGCCUUUACUUUGGAAACAGCUGGAAAUUAUCUGAGGAAGACAGUAAGAGACAAGCUUGACUAAUGAGAUGUUCAGGGACCUCAAACACAAGAAACUGGUUUUGCAGGUUCUCUCUGCAAAUCAGAUCAACAAAAUGAUCUGGAUUAAAAAAACCUACAA
Long non-coding RNA from Pezoporus occidentalis (night parrot), 1872 nucleotides. RefSeq lists it as uncharacterized. Lineage: Eukaryota; Metazoa; Chordata; Aves; Psittaciformes; Psittacidae. The record is from RefSeq and is a predicted model, not a curated record. The transcript is spliced from 2 exons.